AAAAAAAAAAAAAAAACAUAAAUUUCAUUGUUGCUAUAACAUGCAUAGAGUAAUUCUUAAAUGUAGGAAUGCAUGCGUGGUUUGCUGCUGCUGUUGACACCCGCUAUGCUGUAGCUGUACCAAUAAUUGGGGUUCAUGUUUGUCAUAUCCAAAGUUGUAUGCGAUAAGUGAGGAUUUCUUAAAUCUUUGUAUUGGACAAUGGUACGGAAGAGUUGACUAUUUAUGCAAUAUGGUCUUCGGGCUUUCGAUGGGCUAUAGACCAUGACAAGUGGUACGGUCGGGUUGACAGUAUCAAGGCUGUUUUUGAAGAAACACGGAUUGAUCUAGGGAAGGGUGCUAUUGAUAAGGAAGUGGUGGAGCAGAGGAUCCAACGAAUAGACCUAAGAGUAUUGUUGAUGUUAGAUGUGGAAUUGGAGGCAGUUCUAGAUAUCUAGCUAGGAAAUAUGAAGCCCAAUGCCAAGGCAUCACCCUGAGCCCCAUCCAAGCCCAAAUGGCUGAAGGUCUUGCUGCUUCCCAAGGAUUAGCCAACAAGGUUUGUGUGAGCUUUAUUAUGCUUUCCACUUUUUAGCUGGUUUUUGAAAAUGAGCAAGGGAGGUAAUGGAAACCCUUAGUGUACCUAUAUUUCAGUUGAGUCUAUGAGAUUAUGGUAUCUUGCCUACCUCCAUGGAGUAUAUGUUGUCUGCAUCAUUUAAAUUAUUCAUUUUAUGAAAUCUCACUUACCUCUUAGAGUUGCUGUUAUCUGCAUCAUUUAAAUUAUGCUGUUGAAGUUUGGUUGGUGCAUGGGUUUGAAAAUUCCAUUUGGUCCUAGUUAAGAGUAUAGUUUAUCAUCCUUUCACUUCCUUAGAAUAGGAGAAGAAAACUAUUGCAUGGAAUAACCAAUGCUCAACCGAGCCUCAGGGGAGGUUGAUAUUUUCAAGUAUUGCUGUGGGAUAUUUCUGAUUUCCAUGCUACAAUUAUGACUGAAAAUCAACAACCCCCAUAAGAUUUGUCAUAGAAAGCUUUCUUUGAAAGAUAAUAUUUAGUUAUCUGAACUGUUGUUAUAUUGGUGUGGGGGAAAAAAUCACUAUGACAAUUAUGACUAUUCAUUUCAUUGCAGGGACACAUAUAAUCUGUGGUUUAUUUGUUCAAUUAUACUGAUUUUAGUUUCUCACUGUUUUUUCUUAGACACAUCCGAUGGAACUCAUUGAGCAAAUGGUUCCUGUCUCUAUUCUAUUUUAUUUUCUUGACUUUUAGACAAUAAGUGCUAGCCAUGGAUGAAACAUCUAGUUG
Molecule: non-coding RNA, 1269 nt
Organism: Camellia sinensis
Lineage: Eukaryota; Viridiplantae; Streptophyta; Magnoliopsida; Ericales; Theaceae
Source: RefSeq, a predicted model, not a curated record